GACGAACGCUGGCGGCGUGCUUAACACAUGCAAGUCGAACGAAGUGGCGAACGGGUGAGUAACGAGUAAUCAACCUGCCCUUCAGAGGGGGACAACAGUUGGAAACGACUGCUAAUACCGCAUACUGAAGGAGGGGAUUGCGUCUGAUUAGCUAGUGGGAGGUGUAAAGGCACACCAAGGCGAUGAUCAGGAGCACGUCUGAUAGGAGGAAAGUCAACAUUGGGACUGAUACACGUCCCAGACUCCUACGGUAUGCAGCAGUGGGGAAUCUUCCGCAAUUGACGAAAGUCUGACGGAGCAACGCCGCGUGAGUGAUGACGGCCUUCGGGUUUUAAAGCUCUGUUAAUCGGGACGCAGUACCGGAAUAGAAAGCCACGGCUAACUACGUGCCAGCCGCCGCGGUAAUAC
RNAcentral lists this ribosomal RNA (408 nucleotides) under uncultured bacterium. Its description in RNAcentral is "partial 16S ribosomal RNA". It matches the Rfam family "Bacterial small subunit ribosomal RNA", at positions 28 to 526 of the family's 1533-position model. The record is from RNAcentral.